AGUGAACGCUGGCGGUAGGCCUAACACAUGCAAGUCGAACGAGUGGCGGACGGGUGAGGAAUACAUCAGAAUCUACUCUGUCGUGGGGGAUCACGUAGGGAAAAUUACGCUAAUUACGCCUACGCUUGAAUGAGCCGAUGUCGGAUUAGCUAGUUGGCGGGGUAAAGGCCCACCAGGGCGACGAUCCGUAGCUGGGCUGAGAGGAUGAUCGGCCAAACUGGAAUGGGGACACGGUCCAGACUCUAACGGAAGGCAGCAGUGGGGAAUAUUGGACAAGGGGCGAAAGCCGGAUCCAGCAAGACCGCGUGGGUGAGGCGGGCCUUCGGGUGGGAAAGCCCGUUUGUUGGGACAGCGGUACCCAAAUAGUAAGCAACGGCUAACUUCGUGCCAGCAGCCGCGGUAAUAC
RNAcentral lists this ribosomal RNA (406 nucleotides) under uncultured bacterium. Its description in RNAcentral is "partial 16S ribosomal RNA". It matches the Rfam family "Bacterial small subunit ribosomal RNA", at positions 29 to 526 of the family's 1533-position model. The record is from RNAcentral.